This 429-nucleotide ribosomal RNA is filed under the name uncultured Actinomycetes bacterium. RNAcentral describes it as "bacterial SSU rRNA". It matches the Rfam family "Bacterial small subunit ribosomal RNA", at positions 975 to 1407 of the family's 1533-position model. Lineage: Bacteria; Bacillati; Actinomycetota; Actinomycetes. The record is from RNAcentral.
CAAGGCAUGACAUAUACAGGAAUAUGGCAGAGAUGUCAUAGCCGCAAGGUCUGUAUACAGGUGGUGCAUGGUUGUCGUCAGCUCGUGUCGUGAGAUGUUGGGUUAAGUCCCGCAACGAGCGCAACCCUCGUUCUGUGUUGCCAGCAUUUAGUUGGGGACUCACAGGAGACUGCCGGGGUUAACUCGGAGGAAGGUGGGGAUGACGUCAAAUCAUCAUGCCCCUUAUGUCUUGGGCUGCACGCAUGCUACAAUGGCUGGUACAAACGGCUGCAAUACCGCAAGGUGGAGCGAAUCCGAGAAAGCCAGUCUCAGUUCGGAUUGGGGUCUGCAACUCGACCCCAUGAAGUCGGAGUUGCUAGUAAUCGUAGAUCAGCAACGCUACGGUGAAUACGUUCCCGGGGCUUGUACACACCGCCCGUCACGUCACGA